CAGUAGCCGCGGGAAUACAGAGGGUGCAAGCGUUAAUCGGAAUUACUGGGCGUAAAGCGCGCGUAGGUGGUUUGUUAAGUUGGAUGUGAAAGCCCCGGGCUCAACCUGGGAACUGCAUCCAAAACUGGCAAGCUAGAGUACGGUAGAGGGUGGUGGAAUUUCCUGUGUAGCGGUGAAAUGCGUAGAUAUAGGAAGGAACACCAGUGGCGAAGGCGACCACCUGGACUGAUACUGACACUGAGGUGCGAAAGCGUGGGGAGCAAACAGGAUUAGAUACCCCGGUAGUCCCUGUCUCUUAUAA
Molecule: ribosomal RNA, 301 nt
Filed under: uncultured bacterium
Lineage: Bacteria
Description: partial 16S ribosomal RNA
Rfam family: Bacterial small subunit ribosomal RNA
Source: RNAcentral